Long non-coding RNA from Alligator mississippiensis (American alligator), 733 nucleotides. RefSeq lists it as uncharacterized. The transcript has 4 exons. The record is from RefSeq and is a predicted model, not a curated record. Lineage: Eukaryota; Metazoa; Chordata; Crocodylia; Alligatoridae.
CACAGGGGCUAGAUAAGUUAAGGACUGCCCAGGAGGAGGGGGCAGCAGCCAUGAGGAAGACUCAGAGACAGAGAAGAGCUGUACCAUCUGAAACUUGCUGUCUCUCAAAACUCAUGAUCAAGGAACUGCCUGCCUCCAGAGGGAAUCUCCACCUGCCUCUGGAUGAUACUUUGCACAUACAACACAUCAUGGAUCUACGAUAUAGACAGCAUUACCUGCUAUAUAGAUUUGACCCUGUCCCUCUGAGAGGCAGAAGAGGAAGAUGGGGACUGAUGGUCUGAUUACAUAGGAACAACAGGAAUGCAACUACAGGUAACUUUCUAAAUGGCAGAAUACACAGUUCAUCCAACAACAAGGAAAAUUUCCAAGGCCACAUACAAAUGCUAAGGGGAAACAGCACACCUGCAAUUCAUUCUUGUACUUAAGAACUGCAGAUUCCGCAGCUUCACUCCAGUUUUCCCAUGAAUUAACCAGCACAAAAACAAUUCAGGAAACAGAUUUUUAGAGAGCCAAGCAUUCAAACGUUUGAACGCUAUUUCUAAGCUAACCUGAUCAUAGAGCUAACUUCAUAUAGUGGACUCCUCGACUCACAUAAAACCUGGCUGAAUUCAAUUAAUCCCCAAAAAAGCAUAGGGGAUUUGCCUUUACAGUCAGCUACAGGACUGGAGCGACAUUUUGUAAAACUAAUACAUUAAAAAAACAGAGAGAGAAUAAGAAAUCUGUGGGUCGUGAA